GGUUGAUCCUGCCAGUAGUCAUAUGCUUGUCUCAAAGAUUAAGCCAUGCAUGUCUAAGUAUAAGCUUUUAUACGGUGAAACUGCGAAUGGCUCAUUAAAACAGUUAUAGUUUAUUUGAUGGUCCUUUUUACAUGGAUAACCAUGGUAAUUCUAUGGCUAAUACAUGCGCAAAGGCCGCCUUUUUUAAAGGGGCUGUGUUUAUUAGAUACAAAACCAACCCACGUUUCGUGGAGUCCUGGUGAUUCAUAGUAACCGAACGGAUCGCAAUGGCUUCGGCCGGCGAUAGAUCUUU
This 292-nucleotide ribosomal RNA is filed under the name uncultured eukaryote. RNAcentral's name for it is "partial 18S ribosomal RNA". It matches the Rfam family "Eukaryotic small subunit ribosomal RNA", at positions 6 to 299 of the family's 1831-position model. The record is from RNAcentral.